This 244-nucleotide ribosomal RNA is filed under the name uncultured bacterium. Its description in RNAcentral is "partial 16S ribosomal RNA". It matches the Rfam family "Bacterial small subunit ribosomal RNA", at positions 9 to 240 of the family's 1533-position model. The record is from RNAcentral.
GAGUUUGAUCGUGGCGUCAGGACGGAACGACUGGCGGCGUGCCUAACAACAUGCAAGUUGAGCGGAGAUAUGGAGAGCUUGCUCUUUAUUAUUUUAGUCAGCGAACGGGUGAGUAACACGUAGAUAAUUUGUCCUAUAUUGGGGAUAGGCCGAUGAAAAUUAGGAUUAAUACCGCAUACAGCUAUUUAACCGCAUGGGGAGAUAGUGAAAGGGGAAACUUGAUAUAGGAGGAGUCUGCGGCACA